CGUGUGGUGUCUGGACUACAGGAUCAGAUAGCGACACGGCCUACUGACUAGAGGU
Molecule: non-coding RNA, 55 nt
Filed under: unclassified sequences
Description: L31-Gammaproteobacteria ribosomal protein leader
Rfam family: L31-Gammaproteobacteria ribosomal protein leader
Source: RNAcentral